Molecule: unclassified non-coding RNA, 2009 nt
Filed under: Drosophila ananassae
Lineage: Eukaryota; Metazoa; Arthropoda; Insecta; Diptera; Drosophilidae
Description: GF11741
Source: RNAcentral
UAACUCUUACUUCUAAGAUUCUUUACGCAAAAUGGCUGACCAAAAACAGGGCAACCAAAAGCCGCUCAAGCCGGUGGAGAAGACGAACGAUCCGAUUAUCUCACAGAUCGGCGACUUUGGAUGUUACCAGCUUUUCUUCUUCUUUCUCAUCCUGCUGUCAAAGUUUGGAACUGGAUGGCAUACAAUAGGACACAUCUUCCUGGCAGCCCCAACUCCGUUGUCCUGCGCAACGGAAAAUGUGACGGAUCCCUGUAGCGAUGACUGCACAGAGCAGGAGUUCGACACCUCAAUCUUCAAGAGCACUAUCAUCACCGAGUGGGAUUUGACUUGCGACAAGAAGUCCUUGGCCAGUUUAACCCAGAGCAUCGUGAUGACGGGAAUUAUGUCCGGGAGUAUGAUAUUCGGCAUGAUUGCGGAUAAAUGGGGACGCCGACCCGCCUUUCUGGGAUGCUGUUUUAUGCAGCUGAUCACGGGACUGAUUGUUUGCGUAUCGCCGUAUUACUGGUUCUACUGCGUAUUUAGAUUUUUGGUGGGGUUCGCCACAGGCGGAACUAUGACCACGAGCUUUGUCUUGCUCAUGGAGAUUGUAGGACCCAAGAAGCGUGAACUCAUAGCCAUUUUGUACCAAAUUCCCUUCAACAUCGGACACGCCUCUUUGGCCGUGUUCGCCUACUUUAUCCGAGAAUGGCGAUGGUUCCAGUUCAGCAUAACCAUAUUUUCGGUGGUGUUCCUGAUCUACAUCUGUUUGGUGCCAGAAUCACCGCGCUGGCUUUAUACAACCGGAAGAUUGGAUAAGUCUGUCAAGAUUCUGGAGAAGAUUGCCCGGUGCAACAAAGUCCCAACGGAAACCAUUAAGCCGGAGAUUGAAGCAGCCUAUGCGGCUUUGCAGACACGGACCCAGGCAAAGAAGGGCACUUUGUGUGAUCUCUUCCGGACGCCAUAUCUCCGGUUGAAGACCAUCUUCAUGGCGAAUGACUGGGUGGUGGUCUGCAUGGUCUAUUACGGGAUGUCCCAGUAUAUGUCCAAGCUGGGCGGAAACAUCUUCCUGAACAACCUGAUAGCCGCCUCCGUAGGCAUACCCGGGACGUGUAUGUCCGUGGUGAUGAGCAAGUUCCUCGGACGCCGGCUGUCCCUGAUCAUUUCGAACUCUUUGAGCGCAAUUGGUCUUAUGCUGCUGGUCUUCCUCACAGAACAGAGCGAUGUUAUCCAGGUGAGCUGCGCCAUCCUGGGUCUCUUCGGGGCAUCGAUAACCUUCCCAAUCGUCUACCUGUACGGCGGGGAGCUCUUCCCCACGGUGGUGCGCUCCAACGGAAUGGGCCUCUGCUCGAUGUUGGGACGGGGUGGCUCGAUACUGGCCCCCCUGAUCUGCGAGUUGGCCAACUACGGUAAAUGGAUAACCCCGCUUAUUUUUGGCAUCUUCGCCAUUAUGGCCGUUAUUGGUACAUUUUUUUUGCCUGAGACACGUGGCCUUCCUUUGCCGGAAACCCUUGAGGAUGGAGAGACAUUUGGAAAAAAACCUAAAACGGCUCAAGCUUAAGGGUUAAGCCUUUUUCCGCAGUGUCUUGAGUUUUCGGAGUCGACGAACCAGAUCCAAAAUUAAUAAAUUCCGGCUUAAUUUUCGAUUCAGGAGAUCGAAGAUACGUCAGUCAAGACCAGCGAGCUUUCGUGCCAAGCCAAGCCAGAGGCGAAAAAAAAAUUGAAAAAUCUAGCAAAUUCAAAAGGUAACCGGCGACUAUUGGUUGCUGCUGCAUUUUGCCUACAAAUGCCGUUUUAAGUCGAGAGUUGGCGAGUGAACGUGAAUGUAGUCGUCGCAUGUGAACCUUCAAAUGUUGCACUUUGGAAUCAACAAUAUCCCGUCAUCGGUUUUCAUUUGUGGGCUUUUACAUUUUAAAAUAGGCCAAUUGUUUCCUUUAGCUCUUAAGCUCAUAAGUUUAAUUCUCUUUACUUAAAAUAUUUAUACUUACACUGUUUUAAAUUAUGGUAGUCUGAAAUAAAUUUAUUAAUCGAUA